AUCAGCACUGGCGCGACAGGUUCCCUGCAAGGGGAUGAAAAGGGAAGUCGGGUGAAAUGCCCGCGCUGCCCCUGCAACUGUAAGCGGCGAGCCUUCCGGCCAUCGCGCCAUUGAACCGACAGGGUUUCGAGAAGGCGGCCGGACAGCAUCGACCCGCGAGCCAGGAGACCUGCCUGACGCCGUCGUUCUUC
RNAcentral lists this non-coding RNA (191 nucleotides) under Sphingobium indicum. Lineage: Bacteria; Pseudomonadati; Pseudomonadota; Alphaproteobacteria; Sphingomonadales; Sphingobiaceae. RNAcentral also lists the same sequence under 2 other names. The record is from RNAcentral.